GACGAACGCUGGCGGCGUGCUUAACACAUGCAAGUCGAACGGACAGGCCCUGCUUUUGUGGGGUGCUCGAGUGGCGAACGGGUGAGUAACACGUGAGUAACCUGCCCUUGACUUUGGGAUAACUUCUGGAAACUGGGGCUCAUACCGGAUAGGAGCUCCUGCUCCAUGUUGGUGGUUGGAAAGUUUCGGCGGUUGGGGAUGGAUUCGCGGCUUAUCAGCUUGUUGGUGGGGUAGGGGCUUACCAAGGCUUUGACGGGUAGCCGGCCUGAGAGGGGGACCGGGGACAAGGGGACUGAGAGAGGGAGCAGACGCGUACGGGAGGCAGCAGGGGGGAAUAUGGCAGAAUGGGGGGAAGCGUGAGGCAGCAACGCCGGGUGCGGGAUGACGGCCUUCGGGGGGAAAACCGCUGUCGCAGGUGACGAAGCGUGAGUGACGGUAAUGGGUAAAGAAGCAACGGCUAACUACGUG
RNAcentral lists this ribosomal RNA (468 nucleotides) under uncultured bacterium. RNAcentral describes it as "partial 16S ribosomal RNA". It matches the Rfam family "Bacterial small subunit ribosomal RNA", at positions 28 to 507 of the family's 1533-position model. The record is from RNAcentral.